CCUACGGGAGGCAGCAGUGGGGAAUAUUGGACAAUGGGCGAAAGCCUGAUCCAGCAAUGCCGCGUGAGUGAUGAAGGCCUUCGGGUCGUAAAGCUCUUUUACCAGGGAUGAUAAUGACAGUACCUGGAGAAUAAGCUCCGGCUAACUCCGUGCCAGCAGCCGCGGUAAUACGGAGGGAGCUAGCGUUGUUCGGAAUUACUGGGCGUAAAGAGUACGUAGGCGGUUAUUCAAGUCAGAGGUGAAAGCCCGGGGCUCAACCCCGGAACUGCCUUUGAAACUAGAUAACUAGAGUCUUGGAGAGGUUAGUGGAAUUCCGAGUGUAGAGGUGAAAUUCGUAGAUAUUCGGAAGAACACCAGUGGCGAAGGCGACUAACUGGACAAGUACUGACGCUGAGGUACGAAAGCGUGGGGAGCAAACAGGAUUAGAUACCCUGGCAGUCCACGCCGUAAACGAUGAUAACUAGUUGUUCGGUCACUUGGUGACUGAGUGACGCAGCUAACGCAUUAAGUUAUCCGCCUGGGGAGUACGGUCGCAAGAUUAAAACUCAAAGGAAUUGACGGCUGAGACGNGCGACGCGACGACGAGGGAGUAGG
Molecule: ribosomal RNA, 594 nt
Filed under: uncultured bacterium
Lineage: Bacteria
Description: bacterial SSU rRNA
Rfam family: Bacterial small subunit ribosomal RNA
Source: RNAcentral